This 253-nucleotide ribosomal RNA is filed under the name uncultured bacterium. Its description in RNAcentral is "partial 16S ribosomal RNA". It matches the Rfam family "Bacterial small subunit ribosomal RNA", at positions 524 to 776 of the family's 1533-position model. The record is from RNAcentral.
UACGUAGGGUGCAAGCGUUGCCCGGAAUUAUUGGGCGUAAAGCGCACGUAGGCGGCUUGGCAAGUCGGAUGUGAAAUCCCUCGGCUCAACCAAGGAAGUGCAUCCGAAACUGCUGAGCUUGAGUACGGAAGAGGAUCGCGGAAUUCCCGGUGUAGAGGUGAAAUUCGUAGAUAUCGGGAGGAACACCAGUGGCGAAGGCGGCGCUCUGGGUCGAUACUGACGCUGAGGUGCGAAAGCGUGGGGAGCAAACAGG